GAGUUUGAUCCUGGCUCAGAUUGAACGCUGGCGGCAUGCUUUACACAUGCAAGUCGAACGGCAGCACGGGUGCUUGCACCUGGUGGCGAGUGGCGAACGGGUGAGUAAUGCAUCGGAACGUACCCAGUCGUGGGGGAUAACGCACCGAAAGGUGUGCUAAUACCGCAUACGUCCUGAGGAGAAAGCGGGGACCGAAAGGCCUCGCGCGAUUGGAGCGGCCGAUGUCUGAUUAGCUAGUUGGUGGGUAAAGGCUCACCAAGGCGACGAGUCAGUAAGCUGGUCUGAGAGGAUGAUCAGCCACACUGGGACUGAGACACGG
Molecule: ribosomal RNA, 319 nt
Filed under: uncultured bacterium
Lineage: Bacteria
Description: bacterial SSU rRNA
Rfam family: Bacterial small subunit ribosomal RNA
Source: RNAcentral